RNAcentral lists this long non-coding RNA (540 nucleotides) under Daucus carota (carrot). RNAcentral's name for it is "long non-coding RNA (DCAR_LNC005792)". The record is from RNAcentral. Lineage: Eukaryota; Viridiplantae; Streptophyta; Magnoliopsida; Apiales; Apiaceae.
CCUGGCUGAGCUAAAAUUGCCGAUUCAUGAGAAACCACAACCGGUUCACAAACCACCAUCAUUUCACAAGCCACCCGUUUAUGAGCUAGAAGGACAUCAUAAACCACCAUUUCACAAGCCACCUGUGCAUAAACCCCCGGUUUAUGAUACAGAAGAACUUCACAAACCACCAUUUCACAAGCCACCAGUGCAUAAACCCCCGGUUUAUGAUACUGAAGAACUUCACAAACCACCAUUUCACAAGCCACCAGUUCACAAACCUCCGUCAGUUAAUUAUGAAACAGAAGAACUUCACAAACCACCAUUCCACAAGCCCCCAGUGCACAAACCACCAACAGUUGAUACCGAAGAACUUCACAAACCACCAUUUCACAAGCCACCAGUGCACAAACCCCCGUCAGUUAAUUAUGAAACUGAAGAACUUCACAAACCACCAUUCCACAAGCCCCCAGUACACAAACCACCAACAGUUGAUAUCGAAGAACUUCACAAACCACCAUUCCACAAGCCCCCAGUACACAAACCACCAACAGUUGAUAU